AGGCAAUGGAACCACCAUAAUUGGUAAACUUAGUUGGCAGACCUAGAGUGAAUAGGAAAAGAGAUAAAGAUGAAGCACUUAAGAGACAAACUGAGUGGGUUGCACCAAGAAGAGGGAGAAAAAUAACAUGUUCAAACUGUGGGAUUCUUGGACACAAUGCAAGAGGUUGUCAUAAGUUUAAUCAGAAUAGUGAAGAAGGCACUUCUAAUACUGGACAAGUUAAGAGUAAGAAGAAAAAGAUGGAUAAACAAUGUGACAAGGGAAAAAAGCAAACAAAUGAGAGGCAUAAGACACAACCUACUCAAGAUUGCGCAUCAGAUGA
Solanum stenotomum is the source of this 322-nucleotide long non-coding RNA. RefSeq lists it as uncharacterized. The transcript is spliced from 3 exons. The record is from RefSeq and is a predicted model, not a curated record. NCBI's taxonomy places the organism in Eukaryota, Viridiplantae, Streptophyta, Magnoliopsida, Solanales, Solanaceae.